Long non-coding RNA from Zophobas morio, 533 nucleotides. RefSeq lists it as uncharacterized. The record is from RefSeq and is a predicted model, not a curated record. NCBI's taxonomy places the organism in Eukaryota, Metazoa, Arthropoda, Insecta, Coleoptera, Tenebrionidae. The transcript is spliced from 4 exons.
CAAAGUGUAUUCCUUCAUGUUGCUGUGUCAACAGUUUUGUUAUAUUUUUGCCUUAUGUUUUGCCUCUUAUCUCUUGCUCGAAAAUGGGAUGCCGCCGGAUUUUCAACAAAUAUCAAGAUAUGUUCCUUACAUUACGACGUAUUGUUCAGGACUUUGGAUGCUCUGUUUUGCAGGUGAUCUCAUUACUUCUUGGUCACUGGAAAUUACAGAUCAAGUAUUUUACGAUGACUGGCUUCUACCCAGUACAUAUCAAAAUAUAAUGGAUAAAAUCGUAAUAAUACAAAGAAGUCAACGUUCUGCCGGUAUAACACUGGGGGGUUUUCGAAAUCUGGAUUUGCAAAACUUUACAGUGGUUAUGAAAAGUGCAGCAUGGUUUUUUACUUUUGUAAAUACAAUGAUAAAUAAAUGAAUCUAGGGUAAAUAUUUCCGUAUCUAGACGACGGUAGAUUUUGGUUAUGUAUAUAUAAUCGAUAAUGUUCUGUAGCCGUAGAAAAUCCAAAAUAAAUUUUCUUGCAUUUCCCACUGUAAACAAA